GAACCUGCGGAGGGAUCAUUACCGAGUUUACAACUCCCAAACCCAAUGUGAACGUUACCAAACUGUUGCCUCGGCGGGGUCACGCCCCGGGUGCGUAAAAGCCCCGGAACCAGGCGCCCGCCGGAGGAACCAACCAAACUCUUUCUGUAGUCCCCUCGCGGACGUAUUUCUUACAGCUCUGAGCAAAAAUUCAAAAUGAAUCAAAACUUUCAACAACGGAUCUCUUGGUUCUGGCAUCGAUGAAGAACGCAGCGAAAUGCGAUAAGUAAUGUGAAUUGCAGAAUUCAGUGAAUCAUCGAAUCUUUGAACGCACAUUGCGCCCGCCAGUAUUCUGGCGGGCAUGCCUGUCCGAGCGUCAUUUCAACCCUCGAACCCCUCCGGGGGAUCGGCGUUGGGGAUCGGGACCCCUCACCGGGUGCCGGCCCUGAAAUACAGUGGCGGUCUCGCCGCAGCCUCUCCUGCGCAGUAGUUUGCACAACUCGCACCGGGAGCGCGGCGCGUCCACGUCCGUAAAACACCCAACUUCUGAAAUGUUGACCUCGGAUCAGGUAGGAAUACCCGCUGAACUUAAGCAUAUCAAU
This 581-nucleotide ribosomal RNA is filed under the name Trichoderma hamatum. RNAcentral's name for it is "eukaryotic LSU rRNA". The stretch from base 205 to 358 matches the Rfam family "5.8S ribosomal RNA". Lineage: Eukaryota; Fungi; Ascomycota; Sordariomycetes; Hypocreales; Hypocreaceae. The record is from RNAcentral.